This 585-nucleotide ribosomal RNA is filed under the name Penicillium italicum. RNAcentral's name for it is "eukaryotic LSU rRNA". The stretch from base 207 to 359 matches the Rfam family "5.8S ribosomal RNA". The record is from RNAcentral. Lineage: Eukaryota; Fungi; Ascomycota; Eurotiomycetes; Eurotiales; Aspergillaceae.
UCCGUAGGUGAACCUGCGGAAGGAUCAUUACCGAGUGAGGGCCCUCUGGGUCCAACCUCCCACCUGUGUUUAUUUUACCUUGUUGCUUCGGCGGGCCCGCCUUAACUGGCCGCCGGGGGGCUUACGCCCCCGGGCCCGCGCCCGCCGAAGACACCCUCGAACUCUGUCUGAAGAUUGUAGUCUGAGUGAAAAUAUAAAUUAUUUAAAACUUUCAACAACGGAUCUCUUGGUUCCGGCAUCGAUGAAGAACGCAGCGAAAUGCGAUACGUAAUGUGAAUUGCAAAUUCAGUGAAUCAUCGAGUCUUUGAACGCACAUUGCGCCCCCUGGUAUUCCGGGGGGCAUGCCUGUCCGAGCGUCAUUGCUGCCCUCAAGCACGGCUUGUGUGUUGGGCCCCGUCCUCCGAUCCCGGGGGACGGGCCCGAAAGGCAGCGGCGGCACCGCGUCCGGUCCUCGAGCGUAUGGGGCUUUGUCACCCGCUCUGUAGGCCCGGCCGGCGCUUGCCGAUCAACCCAAAUUUUUAUCCAGGUUGACCUCGGAUCAGGUAGGGAUACCCGCUGAACUUAAGCAUAUCAAUAAGCGGAGGA